UAGGGAAUCUUCCACAAUGGGCGAAAGCCUGAUGGAGCAACGCCGCGUGUGUGAUGAAGGCUUUAGGGUCGUAAAGCACUGUUGUAUGGGAAGAAAUGCUAGAAUAGGGAAUGAUUCUAGUUCGACGGUACCAUACCAGAAAGGGACGGCUAAAUACGUGCCAGCAGCCGCGGUAAUACGUAUGUCCCGAGCGUUAUCCGGAUUUAUUGGGCGUAAAGCGAGCGCAGACGGUUGAUUAAGUCUGAUGUGAAAGCCCGGAGCUCAACUCCGGAAUGGCAUUGGAAACUGGUUAACUUGAGUGUUGUAGAGGUAAGUGGAACUCCAUGUGUAGCGGUGGAAUGCGUAGAUAUAUGGAAGAACACCAGUGGCGAAGGCGGCUUACUGGACAACAACUGACGUUGAGGCUCGAAAGUGUGGGUAGCAAACAGGAUUAGAUACCCUGGUAGUCCACACCGUAAACGAUGAAUACUAGGUGUUGGGUCCUUUCCGGGACUCAGUGCCGCAGCUAACGCAUUAAGCACUCCGCCUGGGGAGUACGACCGCAAGGUUG
Molecule: ribosomal RNA, 550 nt
Filed under: uncultured bacterium
Lineage: Bacteria
Description: bacterial SSU rRNA
Rfam family: Bacterial small subunit ribosomal RNA
Source: RNAcentral